Molecule: ribosomal RNA, 492 nt
Filed under: uncultured bacterium
Lineage: Bacteria
Description: partial 16S ribosomal RNA
Rfam family: Bacterial small subunit ribosomal RNA
Source: RNAcentral
AGUGAACGCUGGCGGUAGGCCUAACACAUGCAAGUCGAACGGCAGCACAGUAAGAGCUUGCUCUUACGGGUGGCGAGUGGCGGACGGGUGAGGAAUACAUCGGAAUCUACUUUUUCGUGGGGGAUAACGUAGGGAAACUUACGCUAAUACCGCAUACGACCUACGGGUGAAAGCCGGGGAUCUUCGGACCUUGCGCGAUUGAAUGAGCCGAUGUCGGAUUAGCUAGUUGGCGGGGUAAAGGCCCACCAAGGCGACGAUCCGUAGCUGGUCUGAGAGGAUGGUCAGCCACACUAGAACUGAGACACGGUCCAGACUCCUACGGGAGGCAGCAGUGGGGAAUAUUGGCCAAUGGGCGCAAGCCUGAUCCAGCCAUACCGCGUGAGUGAAGAAGGCCUUCGGGUUGUAAAGCCCUUUUGUGGGGAAAGAAAAGCAGCAGGUUAAUACCCCGCUGUUCUGACGGUACCCAAAGAAUAAGCACCGGCUAACUUCGUG